Molecule: ribosomal RNA, 465 nt
Filed under: Vreelandella stevensii
Lineage: Bacteria; Pseudomonadati; Pseudomonadota; Gammaproteobacteria; Oceanospirillales; Halomonadaceae
Description: partial 16S ribosomal RNA
Rfam family: Bacterial small subunit ribosomal RNA
Source: RNAcentral
CCUACGGGUGGCUGCAGUGGGGAAUAUUGGACAAUGGGGGCAACCCUGAUCCAGCCAUUCCGCGUGUGUGAAGAAGGCCCUCGGGUUGUAAAGCACUUUCAGUGAGGAAGAACGCCUGGUGGUUAAUACCCAUCAGGAAAGACAUCACUCACAGAAGAAGCACCGGCUAACUCCGUGCCAGCAGCCGCGGUAAUACGGAGGGUGCGAGCGUUAAUCGGAAUUACUGGGCGUAAAGCGCGCGUAGGUGGCUUGAUAAGCCGGUUGUGAAAGCCCCGGGCUCAACCUGGGAACGGCAUCCGGAACUGUCAAGCUAGAGUGCAGGAGAGGAAGGUAGAAUUCCCGGUGUAGCGGUGAAAUGCGUAGAGAUCGGGAGGAAUACCAGUGGCGAAGGCGGCCUUCUGGACUGACACUGACACUGAGGUGCGAAAGCGUGGGUAGCAAACAGGAUUAGAUACCCCGGUAGUC